RNAcentral lists this ribosomal RNA (253 nucleotides) under uncultured bacterium. RNAcentral's name for it is "partial 16S ribosomal RNA". It matches the Rfam family "Bacterial small subunit ribosomal RNA", at positions 524 to 776 of the family's 1533-position model. The record is from RNAcentral.
AACGGAGGGAGCGAGCGUUAUUCGUAGUGAUUGGGCGUAAAGUGUACGUAGACUGUUAAGGAAAGGUCAUAAUUAAAAUCCAUGGUAUCACUGUGGUAUUUUGUGUUAACUCCCUAGAACUAGAGUAUAAUGGAGGUAAGCAGUAUUUUAAGGGUAGCUGUAAUAGGCGUAGAUCCUUAAGAGACUACAAAUGCGGAGGCAGCUAACCAUGUUAAACUGACGUUGAGGUACGAAGGCAUGGGGAUCAAAGUGG